RNAcentral lists this ribosomal RNA (206 nucleotides) under uncultured bacterium. RNAcentral describes it as "partial 16S ribosomal RNA". It matches the Rfam family "Bacterial small subunit ribosomal RNA", at positions 568 to 773 of the family's 1533-position model. The record is from RNAcentral.
UGCGUAGGCGGCCCUGUAAGUCAGUGGUGAAAUACUCCAGCUUAACUGGAGGGGUGCCAUUGAUACUGCAGGGCUUGAGUUAAGUUGAAGUUGGCGGAAUUGACGGUGUAGCGGUGAAAUGCUUAGAUAUCGUCAAGAACACCGAUAGUGAAGACAGCUAACUAAACUUUUACUGACGCUGAGGCACGAAAGUGUGGGGAUCAACA